UCAUCAUGCCCCUUAUGACCUGGGCUACACACGUGCUACAAUGGGCGGUACAAAGGGCUGCGAACCCGCGAGGGGGAGCGAAUCCCAAAAAGCCGCUCUCAGUUCGGAUUGCAGGCUGCAACUCCGCCUGCAUGAAGCCGGAAUCGCUAGUAAUCGCGGAUCAGCAUGCCGCGGUGAAUACGUUCCCGGGCCUU
Molecule: ribosomal RNA, 194 nt
Filed under: uncultured Geobacillus sp.
Lineage: Bacteria; Bacillati; Bacillota; Bacilli; Caryophanales; Anoxybacillaceae
Description: partial 16S ribosomal RNA
Rfam family: Bacterial small subunit ribosomal RNA
Source: RNAcentral